AGAGUUUGAUCCUGGCUCAGAGCGAACGCUGGCGGCAGGCUUAACACAUGCAAGUCGAGCGGGCAUAGCAAUAUGUCAGCGGCAGACGGGUGAGUAACGCGUGGGAACAUACCUUUUGGUUCGGAACAACACAGGGAAACUUGUGCUAAUACCGGAUAAGCCCUUACGGGGAAAGAUUUAUCGCCGAAAGAUUGGCCCGCGUCUGAUUAGCUAGUUGGUGAGGUAACGGCUCACCAAGGCGACGAUCAGUAGCUGGUCUGAGAGGAUGAUCAGCCACAUUGGGACUGAGACACGGCCCAAACUCCUACGGGAGGCAGCAGUGGGGAAUAUUGGACAAUGGGCGCAAGCCUGAUCCAGCCAUGCCGCGUGAGUGAUGAAGGCCCUAGGGUUGUAAAGCUCUUUUGUGCGGGAAGAUAAUGACGGUACCGCAAGAAUAAGCCCCGGCUAACUUCGUGCCAGCAGCCGCGGUAAUACGAAGGGGGCUAGCGUUGCUCGGAAUCACUGGGCGUAAAGGGUGCGUAGGCGGGUCUUUAAGUCAGGGGUGAAAUCCUGGAGCUCAACUCCAGAACUGCCUUUGAUACUGAGGAUCUUGAGUUCGGGAGAGGUGAGUGGAACUGCGAGUGUAGAGGUGAAAUUCGUAGAUAUUCGCAAGAACACCAGUGGCGAAGGCGGCUCACUGGCCCGAUACUGACGCUGAGGCACGAAAGCGUGGGGAGCAAACAGGAUUAGAUACCCUGGUAGUCCACACCGUAAACGAUGAAUGCCAGCCGUUAGUGGGUUUACUCACUAGUGGCGCAGCUAACGCUUUAAGCAUUCCGCCUGGGGAGUACGGUCGCAAGAUUAAAACUCAAAGGAAUUGACGGGGGCCCGCACAAGCGGUGGAGCAUGUGGUUUAAUUCGACGCAACGCGCAGAACCUUACCAGCCCUUGACAUCCCGGUCGCGGACUCCAGAGAUGGAGUCCUUCAGUUCGGCUGGACCGGAGACAGGUGCUGCACGGCUGUCGUCAGCUCGUGUCGUGAGAUGUUGGGUUAAGUCCCGCAACGAGCGCAACCCCCGUCCUUAGUUGCUACCAUUUAGUUGAGCACUCUAAGGAGACUGCCGGUGAUAAGCCGCGAGGAAGGUGGGGAUGACGUCAAGUCCUCAUGGCCCUUACGGGCUGGGCUACACACGUGCUACAAUGGCGGUGACAAUGGGACGCUAAGGGGCAACCCUUCGCAAAUCUCAAAAAGCCGUCUCAGUUCGGAUUGGGCUCUGCAACUCGAGCCCAUGAAGUUGGAAUCGCUAGUAAUCGUGGAUCAGCAUGCCACGGUGAAUACGUUCCCGGGCCUUGUACACACCGCCCGCCACACCAUGGGAGUUGGUUUUACCUGAAGACGGUGCGCUAACCCGCAAGGGAGGCAGCCGGCCACGGUAGGGUCAGCGACUGGGGUGAAGUCGUAACAAGGUA
Molecule: ribosomal RNA, 1449 nt
Filed under: metagenome
Description: bacterial SSU rRNA
Rfam family: Bacterial small subunit ribosomal RNA
Source: RNAcentral